This 253-nucleotide ribosomal RNA is filed under the name uncultured bacterium. RNAcentral describes it as "partial 16S ribosomal RNA". It matches the Rfam family "Bacterial small subunit ribosomal RNA", at positions 524 to 776 of the family's 1533-position model. The record is from RNAcentral.
UACGUAGGGUCCGAGCGUUGUCCGGAAUUAUUGGGCGUAAAGGGCUCGUAGGCGGUCUGUUGCGUCGGGAGUGAAAACUUACAGCUUAACUGUGAGCGUGCUUUCGAUACGGGCAGACUUGAGGCAUUCAGGGGAGAACGGAAUUCCGGGUGUAGUGGUGAAAUGCGUAGAGAUCCGGAGGAACCCCAGAGGCGAAGGCGGCGUCCUGGCUCGCAUCUGACGCUCAGACACGACAGCAUGGGGAGCGAACGGG